GAAAGUCUACAUAUAUGUUCUUAAAUUUGUUUGAACGUAAUCCUUCCAAAAGAUUAAUUGUACCAGAGACAGAAUAAUGAAGUUCUAUAUUUGUUCAGUGAGAUUAUAACAGGCUCAAUCAGAGCCACAGCCUGUGGAGAACAGUCAAGUGUCUGAGCAUUAACCACCUGCUGUCAUUAGUUUGUGCAUCUGCUGUAAAAAGUUCCAAAAAUGUUCCUUAAAUUCCAGAAAAACAAACAUUCAUCCACUCAUGAUGACCCUGUCAGAUUGUUCCUAAUCCGGGUUUCCGUUUUUGUCAAUCAUUGUCAAUAGAUAAAUGUUUACAUUUACUUGAAUUAACAUUUGUUUCCAGGUAUCUACGCUCACUGGUGGAAACCAUCUUAAUUUACCAGCACUUUAAGAAACCCAGCUCUGAGCAUACCGCCCCUAAACAGGAGCUGGUGGAUUUCUGGAUGGACUUCCUGGUGGAGGCGACCAAGAAAGACGUCUCCUCUGUCAGGUUCCCAGUGUUAAUACUGGAGCCCACCAAAGUGUACCAGCCCUCGUAUUUGUCCAUAAAUAAGGACGUGGAGGACAACACGGUGUCCAUCUGGCAUGUUGCUCCAGAUGAUGAG
Long non-coding RNA from Cynoglossus semilaevis (tongue sole), 614 nucleotides. RefSeq lists it as uncharacterized. The transcript has 2 exons. Lineage: Eukaryota; Metazoa; Chordata; Actinopteri; Pleuronectiformes; Cynoglossidae. The record is from RefSeq and is a predicted model, not a curated record.